AUUGAACGCUGGCGGAAUGCUUUACACAUGCAAGUCGAACGGCAGCACGGGGCAACCUGGUGGCGAGUGGCGAACGGGUGAGUAAUACAUCGGAACGUGCCCAGUCGUGGGGGAUAACGUAGCGAAAGUUACGCUAAUACCGCAUACGAUCUAUGGAUGAAAGCGGGGGAUCGCAAGACCUCGCGCGAUUGGAGCGGCCGAUAUCAGAUUAGCUAGUUGGUGGGGUAAAAGCUCACCAAGCCAACGAUCUGUAGCUGGUCUGAGAGGACGACCAGCCACACUGGAACUGAGACACGGUCCAGACUCCUACGGGAGGCAGCAGUGGGGAAUUUUGGACAAUGGGCGCAAGCCUGAUCCAGCCAUUCCGCGUGCAGGAUGAAGGCCUUCGGGUUGUAAACUGCUUUUGUACGGAACGAAACGGUCUGCCCUAAUACGGCGGCUAAUGACGGUACCGUAAGAAUAAGCACCGGCUAACUACGUGCCAGCAGCCGCGGU
Molecule: ribosomal RNA, 495 nt
Filed under: uncultured bacterium
Lineage: Bacteria
Description: bacterial SSU rRNA
Rfam family: Bacterial small subunit ribosomal RNA
Source: RNAcentral